AUGCACAAGGAAUGCACUGUCCUGUGCUCUGUGGGGUCACAAUACAAAACAAUAGCAUUUUAUGGAAGAAGUGCAUUCCCAAGUGCUGAUGGAAUUCAAGGCUAAACUUGACGAAGGAUGGCAGGUGGCUUGAGGCAAUGGACAAAGCGGCCCGUCUUGUCCGCCAGAGCCAUGUCUGGGAAGAUGUUACUCUGCACAACAGUAGCCUCCCACCUCUGGCUAUCAAGAACCCAGGGUGUCUGGGUCUUCUGCACCAGCUGGAUAUAAACACGGACAUGUGGGUCCUGCACUAUUGCAUCUUGAAAGGAUGGUUGGCUUGUAUUUCUAUGAUAACAAUCGCUCUACCCAAGCCUCAGGUGGUCUAUAUCUGCAAGGAUAUAGGGUGAGUGAACAGACCCUUAGUUCCAAACAAUUAGUAAUUGAACUCUAGCCUCCAUCCGAAGAGUUCAAGACUUUCUAUUUCUGUGCGGAAAAUGAAACAGAAAACCGACGCUGGAUUACAGCUCUGAAAGCAUUUAUCAAAAAAAAUGGCUUCCUUUGCAUUAGGCUAUUCAAGGCUUUAUGAAUUGACCUCUCGGACAAGCCAAAAUGCGAAAGAGACCCUAACUCUUAAAAGGAUCUACAAACUCAUCACCAACUUGUAGAAACAAACAAAAUGUCUAUCAUUAUAUAACUUUUCAAAUGAAUGUUCUUCCAAUGUAUUAAAACUGUGUGAUGAGAUU
This 722-nucleotide long non-coding RNA is filed under the name Homo sapiens (human). RNAcentral's name for it is "novel transcript". The record is from RNAcentral. Lineage: Eukaryota; Metazoa; Chordata; Mammalia; Primates; Hominidae.